RNAcentral lists this ribosomal RNA (206 nucleotides) under uncultured bacterium. RNAcentral describes it as "partial 16S ribosomal RNA". It matches the Rfam family "Bacterial small subunit ribosomal RNA", at positions 568 to 774 of the family's 1533-position model. The record is from RNAcentral.
UGUGUAGGUGGCGCGCUAAGUCGGGUGUGAAAUUUCGGAGCUUAACUCCGAAACUGCAUUCGAUACUGGCGUGCUUGAGGACUGGAGAGGAGACUGGAAUUUACGGUGUAGCAGUGAAAUGCGUAGAUGUCGUAAGGAAGACCAGUGGCGAAGGCGGGUCUCUGGACAGUUCCUGACACUGAGACACGAAGGCCAGGGAGCAAACG